GACGUAGGGCGCGAGCGUUGUCCGGAUUUAUUGGGCGUAAAGAGCUCGUAGGCGGCUUGUCGCGUCGACUGUGAAAACCCGUGGCUCAACCAUGUGGUCUGCAGUCGAUACGGGCAGGCUAGAAUUCGGUAGGGGAGACUGGAAUUCCUGGUGUAGCGGUGAAAUGCGCAGAUAUCAGGAGGAACACCGGUGGCGAAGGCGGGUCUCUGGGCCGAUAUUGACGCUGAGGAGCGAAAGCAUGGGGAGCGAACGGG
Molecule: ribosomal RNA, 254 nt
Filed under: uncultured bacterium
Lineage: Bacteria
Description: partial 16S ribosomal RNA
Rfam family: Bacterial small subunit ribosomal RNA
Source: RNAcentral